CCUACGGGAGGCAGCAGUGAGGAAUAUUGGACAAUGGGCGCAAGCCUGAUCCAGCCAUGCCGCGUGCAGGAAGACGGUCCUAUGGAUUGUAAACUGCUUUUAUACAGGAAGAAACACCUCUACGUGUAGAGACUUGACGGUACUGUAUGAAUAAGCAUCGGCUAACUCCGUGCCAGCAGCCGCGGUAAUACGGAGGAUGCAAGCGUUAUCCGGAAUCAUUGGGUUUAAAGGGUCCGUAGGCGGUUUAAUAAGUCAGUGGUGAAAGCCCAUCGCUCAACGAUGGAACGGCCAUUGAUACUGUUAAACUUGAAUUAUUAGGAAGUAACUAGAAUAUGUAGUGUAGCGGUGAAAUGCUUAGAGAUUACAUGGAAUACCAAUUGCGAAGGCAGGUUACUACUAAUAUAUUGACGCUGAUGGACGAAAGCGUGGGGAGCGAACAGGAUUAGAUACCCUGGUAGUCCACGCCGUAAACGAUGGAUACUAGCUGUUCGGAGCAAUCUGAGUGGCUAAGCGAAAGUGAUAAGUAUCCCACUGGGGAGUACGUUCGCAAGAAUGAAACUCAAAUGAAAUUGACGG
This 576-nucleotide ribosomal RNA is filed under the name uncultured bacterium. RNAcentral's name for it is "bacterial SSU rRNA". It matches the Rfam family "Bacterial small subunit ribosomal RNA", at positions 338 to 916 of the family's 1533-position model. The record is from RNAcentral.